This 429-nucleotide ribosomal RNA is filed under the name Actinomycetes bacterium. RNAcentral describes it as "Actinobacteria bacterium partial 16S ribosomal RNA". It matches the Rfam family "Bacterial small subunit ribosomal RNA", at positions 355 to 776 of the family's 1533-position model. The record is from RNAcentral. Lineage: Bacteria; Bacillati; Actinomycetota; Actinomycetes.
UAGGGAAUCUUCCGCAAUGGGCGAAAGCUUGACGGAGCAACGCCGCGUGAGUGAUGAAGGUCUUCGGAUCGUAAAACUCUGUUAUUAGGGAAGAACAAAUGUGUAAGUAACUAUGCACGUCUUGACGGUACCUAAUCAGAAAGCCACGGCUAACUACGUGCCAGCAGCCGCGGUAAUACGUAGGUGGCAAGCGUUAUCCGGAAUUAUUGGGCGUAAAGCGCGCGUAGGCGGUUUUUUAAGUCUGAUGUGAAAGCCCACGGCUCAACCGUGGAGGGUCAUUGGAAACUGGAAAACUUGAGUGCAGAAGAGGAAAGUGGAAUUCCAUGUGUAGCGGUGAAAUGCGCAGAGAUAUGGAGGAACACCAGUGGCGAAGGCGACUUUCUGGUCUGUAACUGACUCUGAUGUGCGAAAGCGUGGGGAUCAAACAGG